GUGUCAGCCGCCGCGGUAAUACAGAGGGUGCGAGCGUUAAUCGGAUUUACUGGGCGUAAAGCGUGCGUAGGCGGCUUUUUAAGUCGGAUGUGAAAUCCCUGAGCUUAACUUAGGAAUUGCAUUCGAUACUGGGAAGCUAGAGUAUGGGAGAGGAUGGUAGAAUUCCAGGUGUAGCGGUGAAAUGCGUAGAGGUCUGGAGGAAUACCGAUGGCGAAGGCAGCCAUCUGGCCUAAUACUGACGCUAAGGUACGAAAGCAUGGGGAGCAAACAGGAUUAGAUACCCGGGUAGUCC
RNAcentral lists this ribosomal RNA (292 nucleotides) under uncultured prokaryote. RNAcentral's name for it is "partial 16S ribosomal RNA". It matches the Rfam family "Bacterial small subunit ribosomal RNA", at positions 505 to 796 of the family's 1533-position model. The record is from RNAcentral.